AAAGUAUUUCUUCUGUCUCAAAAUUCUUGUUUUAAAUUUAUUUAAAUACAAAUGUAUCAAGUCAUAUUUUUAGUAUUAGAUACAUUCAUAUGUAAACAAAUUUAAGACAAGAAUUUAGAGAUGAAGGAAGUACAUA
Molecule: non-coding RNA, 136 nt
Organism: Triticum urartu
Lineage: Eukaryota; Viridiplantae; Streptophyta; Magnoliopsida; Poales; Poaceae
Source: Rfam